AAAAAAAAAAAAAAAAAAAAAAAACGCAGCAAAGUGCAGAUGCUCUAUCAAAUUAUUUUAUGAUUUUUACUAUUCCAAACAUCCAAUCUUCUUUUUUUUUUAAGAGAGAGAACGGUAGCAUACUACCGACUUCGUUUAUUUUUUUAGAAAACAGCAAUUAUACUUCAAACUUAGAAUUUCGAAUACCAAUCAUCAAGUUCUUUACUAUUUGCGUUAGGCACGAUCUGUCCAAUCAUCCAAUCUUGAGGCAAAUAAUUUUGCAGUUUCA
Molecule: long non-coding RNA, 268 nt
Filed under: Ananas comosus (pineapple)
Lineage: Eukaryota; Viridiplantae; Streptophyta; Magnoliopsida; Poales; Bromeliaceae
Description: long non-coding RNA (ACOM_LNC009902)
Source: RNAcentral